RNAcentral lists this transfer RNA (24 nucleotides) under Colius striatus (speckled mousebird). RNAcentral's name for it is "partial tRNA-Thr". Lineage: Eukaryota; Metazoa; Chordata; Aves; Coliiformes; Coliidae. The record is from RNAcentral. RNAcentral also lists the same sequence under 9 other names.
ACUCUAAUAGUUUAUUAAAACAUU